This 426-nucleotide ribosomal RNA is filed under the name uncultured bacterium. RNAcentral describes it as "bacterial SSU rRNA". It matches the Rfam family "Bacterial small subunit ribosomal RNA", at positions 355 to 774 of the family's 1533-position model. RNAcentral also lists the same sequence under 1 other name. The record is from RNAcentral.
UGGGGAAUCUUCCGCAAUGGACGAAAGUCUGACGGAGCGACGCCGCGUGAGUGAUGAAGGCCCUUGGGUCGUAAAGCUCUGUCAUCAGGGACGAACGGUCACGUCAGGAAAUGGGCGUGAAUUGACGGUACCUGAGAAGGAAGCCACGGCUAACUACGUGCCAGCAGCCGCGGUAAUACGUAGGUGGCGAGCGUUGUCCGGAAUUAUUGGGCGUAAAGCGCGCGCAGGUGGGAUCUUAAGUCUGUUCUGAAAGUUCGGAGCUUAACUCCGUGAUGGGAUGGAAACUGGGAUUCUUGAGUAUCGGAGAGGAAAGCGGAAUUCCCCGUGUAGCGGUGAAAUGCGUAGAUAUGGGGAGGAACACCAGUGGCGAAGGCGGCUUUCUGGACGAUGUCUGACACUGAGGCGCGAAAGCCAGGGGAGCGAACG